UUUUUUAUUUGAGAGUUUGAUCCUGGCUCAGGAUGAACGCUGGCGGCGUGGAUAAGGCAUGCAAGUCAAGGGGCUCUUCGCUUGGGAGUUUUUAAGAAUUUCCAAGUGAGGAGCACCGGCAAACGGGUUAGUAACACGUAGAUAUCAACCCCAUUCACAGGCAUAACCAGUUGAAAAGCUGGCUAAUUCCUGAUAGUCCCGUAAGGGUAAAGGUUUACGCAAGUAUUCCGGAAUGGGAUGAGUCUGCGGCCUAUCAGCUUGUUGGUGAGGUAAUGGCUCACCAAGGCGAUGACGGGUAGGGGAUGUGAGAGCAUGUUCCCCAACAAUGGCACUGCGACACGGGCCAUACUCCUACGGGAGGCUGCAGUCGAGAAUAUUGCGCAAUGGGCGAAAGCCUGACGCAGCGACGCCGCGUGCUUGAAGAAGCCCUUCGGGGUGUAAAAAGCUUUUCUGGAAGAACAACCUUCGGGUGAGCGUACUCCAGGAAUAAGAGGGUGCUAAUCACGUGCCAGCAGCAGCGGUAAUACGUGACCCUCGAGCGUUAUCCGAAUUUAUUGGGCGUAAAGAGUCUGUAGGUGGUUAAGAAAGUUUUUGGUUAAAUAUCCAGGGCUCAACCUUGGAAGUGCCAAAAAAACUUCUUGACUAGAGGGCAUUAGGGGCUGGUAGAACGGUCGGUGUAGGGGUGAAAUCCGUUGAUAUCGACCGGAAUCCUAAAAGCGAAGGCAUCCAGCUGGGGUGACCCUGACACUGAGAGACGAAAGCGUGGGGAGCAAAAAAGAUUAGAUACCUUUGUAGUCCACGCCGUAAACGAUGAACACUAGCUACUUGAAGUGUCGACCCUUCAAGUGGCGAAGCUAACGCGUUAAGUGUUCCGCCUGGGAAGUACGAGCGCAAGCUUAAAACUCAAAGGAAUAGACGGGGAUUCACACAAGCGGUGGAUCAUGUGGCUUAAUUCGAUAAUAAGCGGAGAACCUUACCAGGGUUUGUACUCGCCUGAAAGCCUUCUGAAAAGAAGGCCCUCUCACAAGGACAGGCGAGCAGGUGCUGCAUGGUUGUCGUCAGCAUGUAUCUUGAGACGCACGCUUAAAUGCGGUAACAUGCGCAACCCUUGCUCUAUGUUUUAUUUGUCAUAGAGGACUGCCUGGGAUAACCAGGAGGAAGGCGAGGAUGACGCCAAAUCAGCAUGGCCCUUUGAUACCCUGGGCUGCACACGUGAUACAAUGGCUGGUACAAUGGGUUGCCAAGCGGCAACGCGGAGCUAAUCCCAUCAAAACCAGUCCCAGUUCGGAUUGGGGUCUGCAACUCGACCCCAUGAAGCCGGAAUCGCUAGUAAUCGCCAAUCAGCCAUGUGGCGAUGAAUAUGUUCCUGAAUCUUGUACUCACCGCCCGUCACAUUAGGGAAGCCAGUAGUAGCCGAAAUCUUAAUUUAAUUAGGCCUAAGCUAAGAUUGGUAACUAGAAUGAAGUCGUAACAAGGCACGGGUAGGGGAACCUGUCCGUGGAUCAC
Molecule: ribosomal RNA, 1506 nt
Filed under: Methanosarcinales archaeon
Lineage: Archaea; Methanobacteriati; Methanobacteriota; Methanomicrobia; Methanosarcinales
Description: bacterial SSU rRNA
Rfam family: Bacterial small subunit ribosomal RNA
Source: RNAcentral